This 789-nucleotide ribosomal RNA is filed under the name uncultured Staphylococcus sp. Its description in RNAcentral is "bacterial SSU rRNA". It matches the Rfam family "Bacterial small subunit ribosomal RNA", at positions 131 to 906 of the family's 1533-position model. Lineage: Bacteria; Bacillati; Bacillota; Bacilli; Caryophanales; Staphylococcaceae. The record is from RNAcentral.
UAUAAGACUGGGAUAACUUCGGGAAACCGGAGCUAAUGCCGGAUAACAUAUAGAACCGCAUGGUUCUAUAGUGAAAGAUGGUUUUGCUAUCACUUAUAGAUGGACCCGCGCCGUAUUAGCUAGUUGGUAAGGUAAUGGCUUACCAAGGCGACGAUACGUAGCCGACCUGAGAGGGUGAUCGGCCACACUGGAACUGAGACACGGUCCAGACUCCUACGGGAGGCAGCAGUAGGGAAUCUUCCGCAAUGGGCGAAAGCCUGACGGAGCAACGCCGCGUGAGUGAUGAAGGUUUUCGGAUCGUAAAACUCUGUUAUUAGGGAAGAACAAAUGCGUAAGUAACUGUGCGCAUCUUGACGGUACCUAAUCAGAAAGCCACGGCUAACUACGUGCCAGCAGCCGCGGUAAUACGUAGGUGGCAAGCGUUAUCCGGAAUUAUUGGGCGUAAAGCGCGCGUAGGCGGUUUCUUAAGUCUGAUGUGAAAGCCCACGGCUCAACCGUGGAGGGUCAUUGGAAACUGGGAAACUUGAGUGCAGAAGAGGAAAGUGGAAUUCCAUGUGUAGCGGUGAAAUGCGCAGAGAUAUGGAGGAACACCAGUGGCGAAGGCGACUUUCUGGUCUGUAACUGACGCUGAUGUGCGAAAGCGUGGGAAUCAAACAGGAUUAGAUACCCUGGUAGUCCACGCCGUAAACGAUGAGUGCUAAGUGUUAGGGGGUUUCCGCCCCUUAGUGCUGCAGCUAACGCAUUAAGCACUCCGCCUGGGGAGUACGACCGCAAGGUUGAAACUCAGAG